RNAcentral lists this unclassified non-coding RNA (329 nucleotides) under soil metagenome. Its description in RNAcentral is "partial contains 5.8S ribosomal RNA, internal transcribed spacer 2, and large subunit ribosomal RNA". The stretch from base 1 to 120 matches the Rfam family "5.8S ribosomal RNA", at positions 35 to 154 of the family's 154-position model. The record is from RNAcentral.
GAUGAAGAACGUAGCGAAAUGCGAUAAGUAAUGUGAAUUGCAGAAUUCAGUGAAUCAUCGAAUCUUUGAACGCACAUUGCGCCCCCUGGUAUUCCGGGGGGCAUGCCUGUCCGAGCGUCAUUACAACCCUCAAGCUCAGCUUGGUGUUGGGCCCCGCCGCCCCGGCGGGCCCUAAAGUCAGUGGCGGUGCCGUCCGGCUCCGAGCGUAGUAAUUCUUCUCGCUCUGGAGGUCCGGUCGUGUGCUCGCCAGCAACCCCCAAUUUUUUUCAGGUUGACCUCGGAUCGGGUAGGGAUACCCGCUGAACUUAAGCAUAUCAAUAAGCGGAGGA